Molecule: ribosomal RNA, 465 nt
Filed under: Vreelandella stevensii
Lineage: Bacteria; Pseudomonadati; Pseudomonadota; Gammaproteobacteria; Oceanospirillales; Halomonadaceae
Description: partial 16S ribosomal RNA
Rfam family: Bacterial small subunit ribosomal RNA
Source: RNAcentral
CCUACGGGUGGCAGCAGUGGGGAAUAUUGGACAAUGGGGGCAACCCUGAUCCAGCCAUGCCGCGUGUGUGAAGAAGGCCCUCGGGUUGUAAAGCACUUUCAGUGAGGAAGAACGCCUGGUGGUUAAUACCCAUCAGGAAAGACAUCACUCACAGAAGAAGCACCGGCUAACUCCGUGCCAGCAGCCGCGGUAAUACGGAGGGUGCGAGCGUUAAUCGGAAUUACUGGGCGUAAAGCGCGCGUAGGUGGCUUGAUAAGCCGGUUGUGAAAGCCCCGGGCUCAACCUGGGAACGGCAUCCGGAACUGUCAAGCUAGAGUGCAGGAGAGGAAGGUAGAAUUCCCGGUGUAGCGGUGAAAUGCGUAGAGAUCGGGAGGAAUACCAGUGGCGAAGGCGGCCUUCUGGACUGACACUGACACUGAGGUGCGAAAGCGUGGGUAGCAAACAGGAUUAGAUACCCCUGUAGCC